GCCGAAGACAAACUUCUAGAUGGAUUUAUUGCAUGAAACUUCAGUUCCAAUUCAGAAAAACAUCCCAGAUUUAAUUAAAGCUGCUUCACCAGCCAUCGCAAGGCGACUGCAACGCAAAGCUCUGUAUUUUCCCUAUAUACACAUGUCACAGUUAAAAUGGGCGUAUACCUGUUCUGAUUGUCGAAUAUCCUCGUCAACAUCCUCAUCAAGCAAGUCGUCUAAACCCGCUUCAUCACCAGCAACAUCGAGGAACGGCUUCAAAGCGAUAGCUUCGCGCACUUCGGUAUACAGCUCAUAGUAAGAAACAAGAUCACCUUCACGCUUCGUCAUCUCAAACUUCGACCCUGGAAACACAAAUUGAAGAACAUGCUCCGUUAGUGCUUCAUUGCGACCUGUCGUAUAUAAAUGAAAAAGCUUAAUCCGUCAAUGGCAAAUGUAAGUCUUCAGAAAUUAAGAGGAAACCUAAAAAUUCGAACAGCUACGUACCUGCUGCAUGCAUGUAUUUUGUUGUUGAUCCCAAUCUCGAGAUGUAGCUGUUGAUUUGCUCAACCUCUUCACCUGCAGUGUAACCACUUCCA
RNAcentral lists this long non-coding RNA (578 nucleotides) under Dendronephthya gigantea. RNAcentral's name for it is "uncharacterized LOC114531877, transcript variant X2". Lineage: Eukaryota; Metazoa; Cnidaria; Anthozoa; Malacalcyonacea; Nephtheidae. The record is from RNAcentral.